This 203-nucleotide long non-coding RNA is filed under the name Olea europaea (common olive). RNAcentral describes it as "long non-coding RNA (OEUR_LNC014984)". The record is from RNAcentral. Lineage: Eukaryota; Viridiplantae; Streptophyta; Magnoliopsida; Lamiales; Oleaceae.
AGCUAAACAAUAUUAGUAACAGAAACCUUAUUAGACUUAUAAACAAGAAUUUACUCUAUAGAGUUGAAAACCAAGAAAGAAAGUUUUUUACAGAUGUAUAAACUUGUAAUUAAUAAAGAACUAGACUUCAAGAUGAUGACUGAUUCCUUUGCCUGCGAAUUCGUUCCCCCCAUGAAAUAUUAUCACACGAGUUCUUAUACAUA